AUGCUCACUUUGGCAGCACAUAUACUAAAAUUAGAAAGAUACAGAGAAGAUUAGCAUGGCUCCUGUGCAAGGAUGACAUUUGAAACUCUAGAUGUAAAUGAUUUUACU
Small nuclear RNA from Neogale vison (American mink), 108 nucleotides. Lineage: Eukaryota; Metazoa; Chordata; Mammalia; Carnivora; Mustelidae. The record is from Ensembl.